This is a transfer RNA of Camelus ferus (Wild Bactrian camel), 72 nucleotides long. It matches the Rfam family "tRNA". From Rfam's summary of the family: Transfer RNA (tRNA) molecules are approximately 80 nucleotides in length. Lineage: Eukaryota; Metazoa; Chordata; Mammalia; Artiodactyla; Camelidae. The record is from Rfam.
GAGGGUAUAGCUCAGUGGUAGAGUUUGUGCCUAGCAUGCCCAAGGUCCUGGGUUCAAUCCCCAAGACCACCA